RNAcentral lists this long non-coding RNA (724 nucleotides) under Aotus nancymaae (Ma's night monkey). RNAcentral's name for it is "lncRNA (ENSANAG00000039567.1)". Lineage: Eukaryota; Metazoa; Chordata; Mammalia; Primates; Aotidae. The record is from RNAcentral.
CAUUAGCAAUAAUAAUUUAUUGAGUGUCUCUUUUUCAUGAGACAUAAGGAUGUUGAAAUAUAAUUUAGGAAAGAUUAAGAUUAAAGUGACUCAGAUUCAAGAAAGGAUUUCAACUGUGAUGUAGAUGCAAAAAUAUAUAGAGAACAAGGAAAAAUUGAAUAGACUUUGAAGUGUGCUCUGAUUAUAUUUCAGUCUGAACCUGGACAACUGGUUGUUAUUCUUGUUUCUGUGUCCUAUAUCUACUAUUUAGGCCUACCUAAAUUCUCUUCUCCUUUCUAGUAGACUUUGAAGAAAGAAAGAAAGAGAAGAAAGAAAGAAAGAAAGAAAGAAAGAAAGAAAGAAAGAAAGAAAGAAAGAAAGAAAGAAAAAGAGAAAAAGGAAAGAAAGAAAGAAGAAAGAGGAAGGAAGGAAGAAAGAAAGAAAAGAAAAGAAAGAAUUCUUUUUCAUUUUACUUUCCCUGAAUCCUUCCCCAGGGAGAAGCUACACUAUUGAAAGUCAACUUCUGAGAAUUUCCUGUCUUCAGAAAUCAUGUGAGGCAUCUUAGCGAUGACAUAAUUGAUAUCUCUGAACUGAGAAAUGAUGAAAGUGGGGAAAGAAGAAUAAAAUAACUCACAUGAAACUGAUAUGAAGAUGAAUUCAUCACAGCAUCUAUAUAGAACCAAGGGUUUUGCCCUUACCCGAGUUCUUCAAAUGUUUCAUAAAGCUUAAAAGUUCUGAGGGUAGG